This 685-nucleotide unclassified non-coding RNA is filed under the name Zea mays. RNAcentral's name for it is "misc RNA Zm00001eb285740". Lineage: Eukaryota; Viridiplantae; Streptophyta; Magnoliopsida; Poales; Poaceae. The record is from RNAcentral.
AAAACCAACAAGAUCGGCUAAUCUGUAUGAUAAAUUAUCAAAACGAAACCCACUGUCAAUCAAACAGUUAUCUGUUGAGACAAAACAAGGUGUCGCAAUGAAUCUGAAUCGGAUAACUGGAAUGUUGCUGCUGACCUACUUAAUGCAAAAAAUGGAAAGAAGAAACAAGAUAAGAGCAAUACAAGUAUACCAUUACCAAAAGCAACCGGUACAUAUGCUUCAAAGAAAAGGCAAGCGACACAUAAAUGAAUUCUACAAAGCAUACAUGAGGAAGAAAACAUGCCAUAAAUGCAUUCUGUUCAGCCCAUAAAUUUACUUAACCAAAGAUCUGUAUGAGUUAUCAGGUUGAAGACGGAUAACUCAACAGCAAGACAAUGGAAGAAAACAAGGACUGCAUGUGACAGAUGGCUGAUACAAAAUAGUAGUAGUGCAAGCACUCAUCCCUUUGUCGAAAGUUUCAGAAUCUACUUGGUUCCUAUUGCACCAAAAAAAACAAGGUAAAAAUCUUGAUUCUUCUAAUGCAGGAAGCUGCUUCAACCAAAUUAAUUGUAAUGGAAAGAUCACAUAGUUUCAGACAAAUCACAGCAAACAAGAAAAAGCAUGGCUAUAUUCAAACUCGAUUCCUGAAGACAAUAACAAAAGGCCAUGCGUAGCUACUUACCGGAAGGGCCCCAUUGGCAUUCCA